CAACUUUCAACAACGGAUCUCUUGGCUCUCGCAUCGAUGAAGAACGCAGCGAAAUGCGAUAAGUAAUGUGAAUUGCAGAUUUUCAGUGAAUCAUCGAAUCUUUGAACGCACCUUGCGCCCCUUGGUAUUCCGAGGGGCAUGCCUGUUUGAGUGUCAUUA
Molecule: ribosomal RNA, 159 nt
Filed under: uncultured fungus
Lineage: Eukaryota; Fungi
Also listed under: 2 other names
Description: 5.8S ribosomal RNA
Rfam family: 5.8S ribosomal RNA
About the family: 5.8S ribosomal RNA (5.8S rRNA) is a component of the large subunit of the eukaryotic ribosome.
Source: RNAcentral